GACGAACGCUGGCGGCGUGCUUAACACAUGCAAGUCGAACGGAAAGGCCCUGCUUUUGUGGGGUGCUCGAGUGGCGAACGGGUGAGUAACACGUGAGUAACCUGCCCUUGACUUUGGGAUAACUUCAGGAAACUGGGGCUAAUACCGGAUAGGAGCUCCUGCUGCAUGGUGGGGGUUGGAAAGUUUCGGCGGUUGGGGAUGGACUCGCGGCUGAUCAGCUUGUUGGUGGGGUAGUGGCUUACCAAGGCUUUGACGGGUAGCCUGCCUGAGAGGGUGACCGGCCACAUUAGGACUGAGAUACGGCCCAGACUCCUACGGGAGGCAGCAGUGGGGAAUAUUGCACAAUGGGCGGAAGCCUGAUGCAGCAACGCCGCGUGCGGGAUGACGGCCUUCGGGUUGUAAACCGCUUUCGCCUGUGACGAAGCGUGAGUGACGGUAAUGGGUAAAGAAGCACCGGCUAACUACGUG
RNAcentral lists this ribosomal RNA (468 nucleotides) under uncultured bacterium. RNAcentral's name for it is "partial 16S ribosomal RNA". It matches the Rfam family "Bacterial small subunit ribosomal RNA", at positions 28 to 507 of the family's 1533-position model. The record is from RNAcentral.